GAUGAACGCUGGCGGCGUGCCUAAUACAUGCAAGUCGAGCGAACAGAUGAGGAGCUUGCUCCUCUGACGUUAGCGGCGGACGGGUGAGUAACACGUGGAUAACCUACCUAUAAGACUGGGAUAACUUCGGGAAACCGGAGCUAAUACCGGAUAAUAUAUUGAACCGCAUGGUUCAAUAGUGAAAGACGGUUUUGCUGUCUCUUAUAGAUGGAUCCGCGCCGCAUUAGCUAGUUGGUAAGGUAACGGCUUACCAAGGCGACGAUGCGUAGCCGACCUGAGAGGGUGAUCGGCCACACUGGAACUGAGACACGGUCCAGACUCCUACGGGAGGCAGCAGUAGGGAAUCUUCCGCAAUGGGCGAAAGCCUGACGGAGCAACGCCGAGUGAGUGAUGAAGGUCUUCGGAUCGUAAAACUCUGUUAUUAGGGAAGAACAAAUGUGUAAGUAACUAUGCACGUCUUGACGGUACCUAAUCAGAAAGCAACGGCUAACUACGUG
This 497-nucleotide ribosomal RNA is filed under the name uncultured bacterium. RNAcentral describes it as "partial 16S ribosomal RNA". It matches the Rfam family "Bacterial small subunit ribosomal RNA", at positions 28 to 507 of the family's 1533-position model. The record is from RNAcentral.